Nicotiana tabacum (common tobacco) is the source of this 221-nucleotide non-coding RNA. The record is from RefSeq and is a predicted model, not a curated record. NCBI's taxonomy places the organism in Eukaryota, Viridiplantae, Streptophyta, Magnoliopsida, Solanales, Solanaceae.
AAGAAAGGGGGAAACGGGUCCGCUUCAGAAAAUGCAGAAAAAGGGAUUUCAAAAGGAGAAGAAGAAGAAGAUGAAAAAGGCUGGAACCAAACCUUGAGAAAUCUUAAAUACGCACUGGUGUUUACGGAGAUAACAGUUGAAGGGCGAGGAUUUCAUUAGUCAGACGCACAAGUUGAUAAUUUCUGAUUUGGAGCAUCCGAAGGUCGAUUCAUGCGGGCGAG